CGGCGUGGAUUAGGCAUGCAAGUCGAGCGGGAUUAUUCCUUCGGGAAUAUGAGAGCGGCAAACGGGUGCGUAACACGUGAGCAACCUACCCUUAAGUCGGGAAUAGCCCGGGGAAACCCGGAUUAAUGCCGGAUGUGGUGGUCCUCCGCAUGGUGGACCUACUAAAGCUAGUAUUGGCGCUUAGGGAUGGGCUCGCGGCCUAUCAGCUUGUUGGUGAGGUAACGGCUCACCAAGGNUAAGACGGGUAGCUGGUCUGAGAGGAUGAUCAGCCACACUGGGACUGAGAUACGGCCCAGACACCUACGGGUGGCAGCAGUUUCGAAUCGUUCGCAAUGCCCGAAAGG
This 344-nucleotide ribosomal RNA is filed under the name uncultured Planctomycetota bacterium. RNAcentral's name for it is "bacterial SSU rRNA". It matches the Rfam family "Bacterial small subunit ribosomal RNA", at positions 40 to 382 of the family's 1533-position model. The record is from RNAcentral. Lineage: Bacteria; Pseudomonadati; Planctomycetota.